UGGGGAAUUUUGGACAAUGGGCGCAAGCCUGAUCCAGCCAUGCCGCGUGCAGGAUGAAGGCCUUCGGGUUGUAAACUGCUUUUGUACGGAACGAAAAGGUGCCUUCUAAUAAAGGGCGCUCAUGACGGUACCGUAAGAAUAAGCACCGGCUAACUACGUGCCAGCAGCCGCGGUAAUACGUAGGGUGCGAGCGUUAAUCGGAAUUACUGGGCGUAAAGCGUGCGCAGGCGGUUUUGUAAGACAGAGGUGAAAUCCCCGGGCUCAACCUGGGAACUGCCUUUGUGACUGCAAGGCUGGAGUGCGGCAGAGGGGGAUGGAAUUCCGCGUGUAGCAGUGAAAUGCGUAGAUAUCGGGAGGAACAUCUGUGGCGAAGGCGACUGCCUGGACCAGCACUGACACUGAGGCACGAAAGCGUGGGGAGCAAACA
RNAcentral lists this ribosomal RNA (427 nucleotides) under uncultured bacterium. RNAcentral describes it as "bacterial SSU rRNA". It matches the Rfam family "Bacterial small subunit ribosomal RNA", at positions 355 to 774 of the family's 1533-position model. The record is from RNAcentral.